CAAAAUGUGCCUACAUCAAACUUGUUUUUUCUACUAUACACAAAAGGGGGGGAAAAAAUAGCAAAUUCAACUGUUUGCUGUCCCUAAGUUUAUGCCAACUAUGACUGACUGAACUAAAACUUUUUCUUUCACCUAUUAUGACUAAUUCCCUAUGUAGAUUUGAGAAUAUACAUGACAACAUAUUUCUGUUACAAACAAUGUUUGUUGCUAUAUAAACUAUAUAACCACUCUCCAGGCAAACAUCCUUUCUAACAAGCCUAAAGCAUCUAAAGGAUUGUAAUAUUUCUUUCUUGAUGAGAGAAGCCCAACUCCUCCUCCGCUCCUCGAGCUUGGAAUAUGUCAAUCCUUCAAGUUUUAUGUACAUUUCAGAGAUUCAUUCCCUGAAAAAGAAUGCAGUCGAAUCCAAGUGGUGGACACCAAGAUAUUGAACAAGUAUCUAACCUUGCAGAAGUAAUCGUGCUUGGGACAUAGAGAACUCACAGUUGGAAAAAAAGAAAGUGUGAACGACCUUGAGGCACCAUGAAGUCGAUGGCAUUUCUACUCGAGGUUGAUCGUAAGAAUUCAUCAGGAAUGCUCUUCAGGUAUUCUGAGUUGGCUUGAUCUGGAAAAAGCGUGAUACUUCUUCAUAAAGCUGCUCAGCCUCAAAUGGCUUUGAAACAUAACCAUCCAUUCCACAUUUUUGACACAGUUCAUUUGUAGCUUGAAUUACGUCAGCAGUCAUGGCCAGAAUGGGCACUUUCCAGCUUGAAACAUUUCCGUAUGCUUCAGGAGGUAGUUGCCCAAGUUUGAUACGGCUAUUGAUAUCAGAUUCCAUUUCGCGGAUUAUUUUUGUAGCCUGAAACCCAUCCAUUUCUGGCAUCUGAAUAUCCAUGAAACAGGCAUCAAAUUGAUGAGGUGGUUGUAAAAAAGUGAGUGCUUUUUUUCCACUGUCUGUGCAGAUAACAUCAGCACCAUACUUCUUCAGUGCAGCAGCAGCUACUCUAAGGUUCACGUUGUUGUCGUCCACAAUCAAAAUUUUUCUCCCCUGAAGGAGCUUGGAAAGAGAGAUACCAGAGAGCUCUCCAUUUGUACAAUUUCCCUUGUUACCAACGCCCAUGGCACGUUGGAGUGAUGCAGCAAGCAUACUUGCUCUUAAUGGCUUCAUGAUGAUAAAUGGAGUAGGAAAACCGUUGACUGAGACACCCGCUCGGCUAGAAUUUAUAGAAUUGGCUAAUAUGAAAAGUUUGGGAGAACUACUGGCGUUGAUCUUUCUUAAGUUUUUGACAAAAAGACUUGACUUUCCCAAAUCAGCAUCCCAGACUUCCUGUUCAAUGAGGAUCAUAUUCGUAACUCCAUUUUCAGUUCUUACAUGAGACAAACCACGAUUCAAAUCUGAGACCACUUCAGUAUGGACUCCAAGUCGUUUCAUGUGAUACUGUGAGACCCUUGCACGGACAGUUCUUGGGUCGACAAUUAAGGCUCUCAAGCCAUGGAAAUCUGAAGAAAUAGAGUUCGAUUGAUUGUUUAUUUGCUGGCUCUUCUUCUCAUUCCAAUUAUUGCGGCUAUUGGUGAAAACAGCAGUAAAAGUAAAGGUGGAUCCAAUCUUUGGCAAACUUACAAACCCAAUUUCACCUUUCAUAAGCUGUACCAAACAUUUGCUUAUGCUAAGUCCAAUACCAGUUCCCCCAUGGGUGCGAGCAAUAGAAGGACCAACCUGCAUGAAGGGGGUGAAUAUACGAGAUUGAGCAUCUAAAGGAAUUCCAACACCAGUGUCUUCUACUGACACCAUUAGAUUGAUCUGGUCCGACGAGGAAGAUGUGAAAGAAGAUCCUUCUUGAUUGAAACCCAUGAAACUUCUCCAGCUCUGUCGCUUAUCGGCUACAGGCGAUCCACUCAAAGUGCUCUUGAACAAUGAAUUCACCUUGAACUCCUCGGCUGACUCUGUCACUUCCUCGACGAGAUGGACCGUCACAAAUAUAUGACCUUUUUCAGUGAAUUUGAUAGAGUUCCCCACCAAGUUUGUGAUAAUCUGACGAAACCGUCCAGGGUCACCAAUGAGUACAUCAGGAACCUUAUCAGAGAUGUAACCGGCCAACUCAACUCCUUUUUCUUGAGAUUUCCCCGAAAAGAGUGACAGAACCUCAUCCAGCGUAUCUCUCACGUCAAAACAAACUGCGUCGAGCUCAAGCUUACCAGAUUCAAUCUUUGCUUGGUCCAAAACCUCAUUUAUGAGCGAAACUAAAGCUUUACCACUGGCCUGAGCAGUGCUGACAUAAUCUUGUUGCGUCACAUCUAGAUUGGUGUCCGUAAGCAUAUGAAGCAUGCCAAGAACACCAUUCAUGGGGGUCCUGAUUUCAUGGGAAACAGUAGCAAGAAACUGUGACUUUGCAACAUCAGCAGCCUCUGCACGUUUUUUCAGCAUCAUCAUCUCAUGAUAAUCAUCCUCAACUUUGGCGAUUCUGUUGAUGGUUGCAUGAAAUAUUUGCCCUAUAAGCAAUGCAAUUAUGAGGAUUCCUGUCGCUGUUGUGAUGGCUAGCCAAGGCCACGGUGGUUUCUGUUUGAAUCUGCAACGCAUCUCAUGCCUUCUAAAUGGAUCCCCAAAGUUGAGGGCACUGACAUGCUCCAGACCAUCACCCGACACAUUUGAACCAUACAUGCUAAUAGGGUGGGAGAUAUUAGUUGUAUCAUAGACGUUUACAAGGAUAGUUUGUUUGCUUGCAAGUUGCUGAAGAAGCUUCUCUACAAGUGAUUCAAUGUCAAGUACUCCACCAAGAUACCCGUCAGUUGCCUGGAUCCUUUCAUUUGGAGUUG
This 2790-nucleotide unclassified non-coding RNA is filed under the name Hevea brasiliensis (rubber tree). Lineage: Eukaryota; Viridiplantae; Streptophyta; Magnoliopsida; Malpighiales; Euphorbiaceae. The record is from RNAcentral.